Molecule: ribosomal RNA, 427 nt
Filed under: uncultured bacterium
Lineage: Bacteria
Description: bacterial SSU rRNA
Rfam family: Bacterial small subunit ribosomal RNA
Source: RNAcentral
UGGGGAAUUUUGGACAAUGGGCGCAAGCCUGAUCCAGCCAUGCCGCGUGCAGGAUGAAGGCCUUCGGGUUGUAAACUGCUUUUGUACGGAACGAAAAGGUGCCUUCUAAUAAAGGGCGCUCAUGACGGUACCGUAAGAAUAAGCACCGGCUAACUACGUGCCAGCAGCCGCGGUAAUACGUAGGGUGCGAGCGUUAAUCGGAAUUACUGGGCGUAAAGCGUGCGCAGGCGGUUUUGUAAGACAGAGGUGAAAUCCCCGGGCUCAACCUGGGAACUGCCUUUGGGACUGCAAUGCUGGAGUGCGGCAGAGGGGGAUGGAAUUCCGCGUGUAGCAGUGAAAUGCGUAGAUAUGCGGAGGAACACCGAUGGCGAAGGCAAUCCCCUGGGCCUGCACUGACGCUCAUGCACGAAAGCGUGGGGAGCAAACA